GAUGAACGCUGGCGGCGUGCCUAAUACAUGCAAGUCGAGCGAACAGACGAGGAGCUUGCUCCUCUGACGUUAGCGGCGGACGGGUGAGUAACACGUGGAUAACCUACCUAUAAGACUGGGAUAACUUCGGGAAACCGGAGCUAAUACCGGAUAAUAUAUUGAACCGCAUGGUUCAAUAGUGAAAGACGGUUUUGCUGUCACUUAUAGAUGGAUCCGCGCCGCAUUAGCUAGUUGGUAAGGUAACGGCUUACCAAGGCAACGAUGCGUAGCCGACCUGAGAGGGUGAUCGGCCACACUGGAACGGAGACACGGUCAAGACUCAUACGGGAGGCAGCAGUAGGGAAUCUUCCGCAAUGGGCGAAAGACUGACGGAGAAACGCCGAGUGAGUGAUGAAGGUCUUCGGAUCGUAAAAAGAUGUUAUUAGGGAAGAACAAAUGUGUAAGUAACUAUGCACGUCUUGACGGUACCUAAUCAGAAAGCCACGGCUAACUACGUG
Molecule: ribosomal RNA, 497 nt
Filed under: uncultured bacterium
Lineage: Bacteria
Description: partial 16S ribosomal RNA
Rfam family: Bacterial small subunit ribosomal RNA
Source: RNAcentral